UGGGGAAUAUUGCACAAUGGGCGCAAGCCUGAUGCAGCCAUGCCGCGUGUAUGAAGAAGGCCUUCGGGUUGUAAAGUACUUUCAGCGAGGAGGAAGGCGUUGUGGUUAAUAACCGCAACGAUUGACGUUACUCGCAGAAGAAGCACCGGCUAACUCCGUGCCAGCAGCCGCGGAAAUACGGAGGGUGCAAGCGUUCAUCGGAAUUACUGGGCGUAAAGCGCACGCAGGCGGUCUGUCAAGUCGGAUGUGAAAUCCCCGGGCUCAACCUGGGAACUGCAUCCGAAACUGGCAGGCUAGAGUCUUGUAGAGGGGGGUAGAAUUCCAGGUGUAGCGGUGAAAUGCGUAGAGAUCUGGAGGAAUACCGGUGGCGAAGGCGGCCCCCUGGACAAAGACUGACGCUCAGGUGCGAAAGCGUGGGGAGCAAACA
Molecule: ribosomal RNA, 427 nt
Filed under: uncultured bacterium
Lineage: Bacteria
Description: partial 16S ribosomal RNA
Rfam family: Bacterial small subunit ribosomal RNA
Source: RNAcentral